RNAcentral lists this ribosomal RNA (253 nucleotides) under uncultured bacterium. RNAcentral's name for it is "partial 16S ribosomal RNA". It matches the Rfam family "Bacterial small subunit ribosomal RNA", at positions 524 to 776 of the family's 1533-position model. The record is from RNAcentral.
UACGUAGGGUGCAAGCGUUGUCCGGAAUUAUUGGGCGUAAAGAGCUCGUAGGCGGUCUGUCGCGUCGGACGUGAAAAUCCAGGGCUCAACCCUGGACCUGCGUUCGAUACGGGCAGACUAGAGUUCGGUAGGGGAGACUGGAAUUCCUGGUGUAGCGGUGAAAUGCGCAGAUAUCAGGAGGAACACCGGUGGCGAAGGCGGGUCUCUGGGCAGUAACUGACGCUGAGGAGCGAAAGCGUGGGGAGCGAACAGG